AGGCCAGUGAAUGGCAAGACUAGGAAUAUCUGUACUUUAUGUAUAAAAAAAACUUUUCUUCUAAGUGAAAAGACUUAGAUAAUAAAGGAAGACGAAAAGACCCCGCGGAACUUCACCUUUUCUUUAUACCUCUGCGUACCAAGCUUAAAAGUAUACAAGGUUUGAUUGGGGCAAUCUUGGAACCAAUAAAGCUUCCAAACUUUCAUAUAAAGAUAUAGAAAAUUUAUUAAGGACCAAAAAGUAGUUACCCCGGGGAUAACAGCGUAAUCCAACUUAAGAGUACACAUCGAAAGUUGGGUUUGCGACCUCGAUGUUGGCUUAAGGACAUCCACAUAAGUGCAACCGCUAUGAUAGGAUAGUCUGUUCGACUAU
This 372-nucleotide ribosomal RNA is filed under the name Unio crassus. RNAcentral describes it as "partial 16S ribosomal RNA". The stretch from base 60 to 372 matches the Rfam family "Bacterial large subunit ribosomal RNA", at positions 2048 to 2588 of the family's 2925-position model. The record is from RNAcentral. Lineage: Eukaryota; Metazoa; Mollusca; Bivalvia; Unionida; Unionidae.